RNAcentral lists this ribosomal RNA (460 nucleotides) under uncultured bacterium. Its description in RNAcentral is "partial 16S ribosomal RNA". It matches the Rfam family "Bacterial small subunit ribosomal RNA", at positions 338 to 795 of the family's 1533-position model. The record is from RNAcentral.
CCUACGGGAGGCAGCAGUGAGGAAUAUUGGUCAAUGGACGAGAGUCUGAACCAGCCAAGUAGCGUGAAGGAUGACUGCCCUAUGGGUUGUAAACUUCUUUUAUAUGGGAAUAAAAUGUUCCACGUGUGGGAUUUUGUAUGUACCAUAUGAAUAAGGAUCGGCUAACUCCGUGCCAGCAGCCGCGGUAAUACGGAGGAACCGAGCGUUAUCCGGAUUGAUUGGGUUUAAAGGGAGCGUAGGUGGAUUGUUAAGUCAGAUGUGAAAGUUUGCGGCUCAACCGUAAAAGUGCAGUUGAAACUGGCAGUCUUGAGUACAGUAGAGGUGGGCGGAAUUCGUGGUGUAGCGGUGAAAUGCUUAGAUAUCACGAAGAACUCCGAUUGCGAAGGCAGCUCACUGGACUGCAACUGACACUGAGGCGCGAAAGUGUGGGUAUCAAACAGGAUUAGAUACCCCAGUAGUC